CAGGCCUAACACAUGCAAGUCGAACGGACCUUUCGGGGUUAGUGGCGGACGGGUGAGUAACACGUGGGAACGUGCCCUUAGGUUCGGAAUAAGCCCGGGAAACUGGGUCUAAUACCGGAUGUGCCCUUUUGGGGAAAGAUUUAUCGCCUUUGGAGCGGCCCGCGUCUGAUUAGCUAGUUGGUGAGGUAAAGGCUCACCAAGGCGACGAUCAGUAGCUGGUCUGAGAGGAUGAUCAGCCACACUGGGACUGAGACACGGCCCAGACUCCUACGGGAGGCAGCAGUGGGGAAUCUUGCGCAAUGGGCGAAAGCCUGACGCAGCCAUGCCGCGUGUAUGAUGAAGGUCUUAGGAUUGUAAAAUACUUUCACCGGUGAAGAUAAUGACUGUAGCCGGAGAAGAAGCCCCGGCUAACUUCGUGCCAGCAGCCGCGG
RNAcentral lists this ribosomal RNA (431 nucleotides) under uncultured bacterium. Its description in RNAcentral is "bacterial SSU rRNA". It matches the Rfam family "Bacterial small subunit ribosomal RNA", at positions 43 to 520 of the family's 1533-position model. The record is from RNAcentral.